GCCUGCCCAGUGACAAAAUUCAACGGCCGCGGAACUCUGACCGCGCGAAGGUAGCAUAAUCACUUGUUUCCUAAAUAGAGACUAGUAUCAACGGCAUCACGAGGGUUAAACUGUCUCCCCCCCCCAAUCAGUGAAACUGAUCUCCCCGUGAAGAAGCGGGGAUAGCCCUAUAAGACGAGAAGACCCUAUGGAGCUUCAGGCCCGACGGGCAACCUUAAUUAAACAAAGCCGCACACUAAACAGAACCUGCCUGUCCACCUUCGGUUGGGGCGACCGCGGAGUAAAAUAAAACCUCCACAACAAAUAGGACUACACCUUAAUACAAGAGCCACCGCUCUAAGAAUAGACAAAUCAAUGUAAAAUGACCCGAUAAUCGAUCAAUGAACCAAGUUACCCUAGGGAUAACAGCGCAAUCCAUUUCUAGAGCCCCCAUCAACAAAUGGGUUUACGACCUCGAUGUUGGAUCAGGGUAUCCCAGUGGUGCAGCCGCUACUAAAGGUUCGUUUGUUCAACGAUUAAAACCCUAC
Molecule: ribosomal RNA, 527 nt
Filed under: Micrixalus kodayari (Kodayar dancing frog)
Lineage: Eukaryota; Metazoa; Chordata; Amphibia; Anura; Micrixalidae
Description: partial 16S ribosomal RNA
Rfam family: Bacterial large subunit ribosomal RNA
Source: RNAcentral